This 72-nucleotide transfer RNA is filed under the name Sphaerodactylus townsendi. Its description in RNAcentral is "tRNA-Thr". The record is from RNAcentral. Lineage: Eukaryota; Metazoa; Chordata; Lepidosauria; Squamata; Sphaerodactylidae.
GGGGCUGUGGCUCAGUGGUAGAAUGGUUGCUUGGUGUGUGGAAGGUCCCUGGUUCAAUCCUUGGAGGCUCCG